RNAcentral lists this ribosomal RNA (519 nucleotides) under uncultured organism. RNAcentral's name for it is "bacterial SSU rRNA". It matches the Rfam family "Bacterial small subunit ribosomal RNA", at positions 80 to 575 of the family's 1533-position model. The record is from RNAcentral.
AAGACGUUCAGAAUAGUGGCGAAAGGGUGAGUAAUGCGAGGGUAACAGGCCGCGGGAGCUGGGGAUAACUCCGAGAAAUCGGAGCUAAUACCGAAUGUGGUCCUUUGAUGGAAUCAUUAGAGGACUAAAGAUGGGGACCCUUCGGGGCCUUUCGCUUAAGGAGUGGCUCUUGUCCUAUUAGCCUGUUGGUGGGGUAACGGCUCACCAAAGCAAUAAUGGGUAGCUGGUCUGAGACGAUGGGGGCCACACUGGGACUGAGACACUGCCCAGACUCCUACGGGAGGCUGCAGUCGAGAAUCUUUCGCAAUGGGGGAAACCCUGACGAAGCGACGCCGCGUGGAGGAUGAAGGCCCUCGGGUUGUAAACUCCUGUCACUUGGGAUGAAAAGUGGGGCCAUUAAUACCGGUUCUGGCUGACAGUAGCUUGAAAGGAAGCUCCGGCUAACUACGUGCCAGCAGGCGCGGUAAUACGUAGGGAGCAAGCGUUGUACGGAUUUACUGGGCGUAGAGGGUGUGUAGG